This 386-nucleotide ribosomal RNA is filed under the name uncultured bacterium. Its description in RNAcentral is "bacterial SSU rRNA". It matches the Rfam family "Bacterial small subunit ribosomal RNA", at positions 28 to 413 of the family's 1533-position model. The record is from RNAcentral.
GACGAACGCUGGCGGCGUGCUUAACACAUGCAAGUCGAGCGGUAAGGCCCUUUCGGGGGUACACGAGCGGCGAACGGGUGAGUAACACGUGGGUGACCUGCCUCUAGCUCUGGGAUAAGCCCGGGAAACUGGGUCUAAUACUGGAUAUGACUCCAUGACGCAUGUUGUGGGGUGGAAAGCCUUGUGCGGCUAGAGAUGGGCCCGCGGCCUAUCAGCUUGUUGGUGGGGUGAUGGGCCUACCAAGGCGACGACGGGUAGCCGGCCUGAGAGGGCGACCGGCCACACUGGGGACUGAGACACGGCCCAGACUCCUACGGGAGGCAGCAGUGGGGAAUCUUGCGCAAUGGGCGAAAGCCUGACGCAGCGACGCCGCGUGAGGGAUGACG